UUGUUCGUCUUUGUUCAAAGAAAUAAAAUUUAAAAGCUUUGAACUUUAAUUGCAUUGCAUAUACACAGGCAUUCAACCAAUCAUUCGUCACCCAAAAUGGCAAACAAGUCUUCCUCUGCUUUUCUUCUCAUCUGCUUCUCUGCUUGAUCAUAAGCCCACUCUUUGUCCAAUUGGGUCUUGCUUCGCGAAUAUUAGCUGAUGAUGUGAGCGAAAAUAAGAAAGACAAUGGACAAAGUAAAAGUGGUGUUCAUGGAAGUCAAUCAGGCCACGCAGGCUCUAACACCGGAGAUAGUCCUCCUUCUGGAACAGUCUUAAUGUCUCCUCCUACCACGGAGACUAGGAUUGCAUUUGCGUCUGUUACUGUCAAUGGCACUGCUUCUGGAACUCCGAAAAAGAAUCCUUAGAUCGAACAGAAGACAAAGAAAGGAAGAAACGAUGCCAAUUAUUCCGCUUAAUUAUGUGAGAUCGCAAUGUAUAAUCAUUGUUUUAUAUAUUCCUGUUCACAUAUUUUGUGUCCUCUUUUAUUAGAUGGUUCAUUUGUUUCACAUACUUGAAUCAAAAGAAAUAAUGGGAUCCAUUAUAUAUGUUUUAAGAGCAUAUAUGGAGGAUUAUAUGAUACUCUGUUUUCUGGGUUAUUAAUUUUACAUGUAUUGGAGGAUUAUAUUGUCCGUUUUGAGUU
Tripterygium wilfordii is the source of this 679-nucleotide long non-coding RNA. RefSeq lists it as uncharacterized. The transcript has 2 exons. Lineage: Eukaryota; Viridiplantae; Streptophyta; Magnoliopsida; Celastrales; Celastraceae. The record is from RefSeq and is a predicted model, not a curated record.